Molecule: long non-coding RNA, 818 nt
Filed under: Drosophila guanche
Lineage: Eukaryota; Metazoa; Arthropoda; Insecta; Diptera; Drosophilidae
Source: RNAcentral
ACCAUAUUGACUAAGUUUAAGGACUCCGUUUAUUGGUGUGGUUAUGAAAUAAGCUACAAACAAAAAAGAGUUUCUGCAUGACAACUACACAUGGAUGAAUCUAUUAGAGCGGCACCUAGGCGGCCAGAUAGUGAAAUACUUAACUCACCUCGCUGCUGCGCUGCCACAUGGUUGGAAAUGGUCCGCAUAAGUUCAAAUUUGUAAUAUUGCCGUAUUAAGAAAUCUACCAUCUUUUGGAUUCCAAAAUUAUGAAUCUAAGUAGGUGUUUACCCUUACGCUAGCGUAAGCAAAGCUUUUGGGGCAGUCAGUCUCACAACUCAGAACAGUUUGGCAAAAGUUGUUUGUCUCUAAAAAUUAAAUAUUGAAUUUUAACAAAACAUUUUCCUGGACUAUUCCACGAUGCCUUUAAAGUGCAUAAUCCAGUGCGUCCACGAGGCAGCACACACUCUAAUCUCGACACGUCCUGUGACAACCUUUACACGCGGGGUAAGUUUUCUAGUGGUUUGAAGUGAGACCGGUUCUGAUCAAAUCUUCAUUAGGGAUGCCGUGCGCCUAUCAAGAACGGUACCAUUGCUAAUGCAAUCUUUUUUGCUGCGAUCUUCGCGCCGCUUUACGUCUGCCUGUUGAAGGAUGGGUUCCUCUUUUUGGUGGACCUGAGCAAGAAGAUGACGCGAGAAUAGAUGCCAUGGAUGCCGUUGCGUCCCAUCAAAUAUAUAGGGUGGUCAGGCUUGGUCAGAUUUGCAUUUACACCUGCAUACAUUCCCACAUAAAUAUGUAACCCAAAACACCGCUCAAUACAUGUUUGUGUAGCAUCGUUA